AACAUUGUUUCUAGUGUUUGGAUUGGAGAUAUUGUCUGCCCACUGAGGAUUUGAAGGGCUGCGGUAUUACUGACCGUACAAAGGUAGCAUAAUAAAUAGUUCUUUGAUUGGGAGCUGGAAUGAAGGGCUUUAUGAAAAAUCAGUUGUCUUAAUUAUAAGAUUAGAAUUUAAUGUUUGGGUAAGAAAGCCUAAGUAGUUUAGUGGGACGAGAAGACCCUAUAGAAUUUUAUUUUAUUAUUUGGGUUAGUAAAUUUAUGAUAUGUAGUAUAUUAUAAAAUUUGAUUGGGGUGAUUGGAAAAUAUUUAGCUUUUUUUAUUGUUUAAUUAUUAAUGAGUAUGAGUUUGAUCCAUGUAUUGAGUGAUUGUAAGAUAAAUUACCUUAGGGAUAACAGCGUUAUUUAUUCGGAUAGUUCAAAUAGAUGAAUGAGAUUGCGACCUC
This 438-nucleotide ribosomal RNA is filed under the name Nocticola cockingi. RNAcentral's name for it is "partial large subunit ribosomal RNA". It matches the Rfam family "Archaeal large subunit ribosomal RNA", at positions 1904 to 2596 of the family's 2987-position model. Lineage: Eukaryota; Metazoa; Arthropoda; Insecta; Blattodea; Nocticolidae. The record is from RNAcentral.